Molecule: long non-coding RNA, 2930 nt
Organism: Mastomys coucha (southern multimammate mouse)
Lineage: Eukaryota; Metazoa; Chordata; Mammalia; Rodentia; Muridae
Exons: 2
Source: RefSeq, a predicted model, not a curated record
GCCUGCAGAGGUCAGGGAGUGGAAGAGGUGUGAAUCUCUGGCCUUUCAUUGUCCGUUCCACAGCCCCAGUCCCUCCUUUGUGAAUGCAGAGAACUCAGAGGGCUUUUGUGAGAAAUCGAAUAUUCCACAAACCCUUGUAAUGAAGAAGCCUUUAGUGUACAAAAAAGGACAGUUUACUGUGCCUUUCACAAAACAGGGACAUAAGAUAUAACUAUCACAUGGUCUAAUAGCCACCCUUAAGUAGGGAAGUGUCUUGCUGUGUCUUUGCAGGGGUCUUGGAAAACAACGCUCUGCAUUCCCUAUUGGGCCUUUUUUGGGAGACAGUGUCAAGCACUGUCAUCAUCCGUUUUAUUUUUCUGAGACUGGAGUGUGUAUGUACUGAACUAUCCUCCUCACCACCUGCUUCAAAAGAUCCAGCAUGGAGGUUGAAGUCAAAGCAGAAGGUUUAAGGUCAGCUGGCAAGACUGCAGCUCAGAUGUAGGAUUGCAGCUGCAGGCACGUGAUAAAAAGCAGAGGUAAGGAGGGGACCCUCACGAACGACCUGGGCUGGGUCUGCUCCAAGCAUCUGGCCAGAACAGAAUAUCAUUGCUCACCUACAGAGUGCUUCCACUAGGACUGACCACUCAGUAGCUGGGUGGGUUCCCUUUGGUGAUCUUGGAUCCAUUUCCCCAGUUCCUUGUCACCUCAGUCUUUGUGUCCCCGGGGUACAGCCUGUCUCAUAGAGUCACCAUUCCACCCUGCCCUUUGAGCAUCCAUUGGUUUCGUCGUGGCUCCUGUGUGGCAGAUGUUCUCCCCAUUUUACAUAGAAGCUGGACACCGAAAGGAACAUGGCUGUGUCCUGGUGGUGCAGCCAGUCUGCACUGAGUAAUGAACCUGAGUCCUAGAAUCAUGGCGUUUGUGUGCUGAGCUGGUGGUGGCAAGACGAAUGUCUUCCAGGUGGCCUUGCUCUGAGCUCAGCCUCUCCUUCAUGAAGAAGCAAAACAAGGGCUGGUAAAGGAGCUUUCAGUACCACCUGAGGAGCUGAGUGGGGGGCCUUGGAAUCCCUGUAAGGGAGAAACCACCUCUGUCCUCCGACCUUCACUAGCACUUGGACAUGUGACACUUGUACCCCUUCCUGAACAAAUCUGCUUUCAUAAGCUAUGUUAAAAAUCCUUGUUUAGGCCUGGCGGUGGUGGCACGCACCUUUAAUCCCAGAUUAAAUUUAAUCCCAGAUUUCUGAGUUCGAGGCCAGCCUGCUCUACAGAGUGAGUUCCAGGACAGUCAGGGCUACACAGAGAAACCCUGUUUCAAAACAACAACAACAACAAAUCCUUGUUUAGUACCAGGCAUGGUAGUACACGGCUUUAAUCCAAGUGUUCUGGAGGUCCUUGGAUCUCUGAGUUCAAGGCCAGCCUGGUCCACAGAGUGAGUUCCAGGACUGCCAGAGUUACAGUCUCAAAAAACAAAACAAACAAAAAUCCUUGCUUUGCAUGCUCAAGGUCCUGGGUUCCAUCCCAGCACCUCACCAACAACCAACCAACCAAUCAGAACACUGACCAGGUCAGGCUGGAAGAUUCUUUUGGAUUGGCUCAUUUAGUUCUUAACUCAUAUUAUUGAGGCAGUCCCUCAUUUUACAGGGAGGGAAACUAAGGCAAACAGCAUAUACACCAUAUCCAAGGUCACACAAUAAGUGACAAAGACUGGUACAAACCAGUCUGACUCCAGGAUCUGUGUUCUUCUCAUGUCCCAGCCACCCUUCAAACCACCUUGGUAGCCCAAUUUGGAGGAGUCAUGUUCUCCAGCCCCGACUAGUGUCAGCCAUGCCAAGAGUCCAUGCUGUGGCAUGGAGAACUGUUAAUUAUUAGAGGCACUCAGCAACAAAACACCAUCCAUUCGUGUCAAGAGUAAUUGCACUGGCUGAUGAGAAAGGGUCUCUCUCAGGUGGCAGAAAUGCUGACCUUACACUUCUGGUCCCUCUGCUCCCUGCCCCCAACAGCAGUUCACGUGGUGCUGAGAUUAGAAGCCAAGGCUGUGGGCAAGCUAGGCCAGUAUUCCAAAGACUGAGCUGCAUCUCCAGCCCCUUAAUGGAAGUUUGAAAAUUAUCUUUGCAUUUACCGGAAAGAACCUGAAGAUUCUGUGUACUCUUUGGACAAAGAGGGUGGGUAAGGUGUGGCCUAGACCUGCCUCAGUCCCUCAGGGGAAGGGAUGGGUGGCUACCUUCUGGGUGGAUGCUCAGGUCUGCCCAUAAGCCACCCUCUCAGACAGACUUGGGGUGGGGGAAGCAGGAAGACGCUGGUUGAAAUGAACCUUUAGCUUUAAGCUCCUUACCCACAGGGCUUCUGGGUAAGUAGGUGUGGCCGAACCAGCAAAUUCACAGAGGAAGAAGCAUCCUAGCAUACUCCAUUAAAAUUGGUCAGAGUGCCUAGGGGAUGACAAACCAUGGAAAGGUGCCUGCCACCAAGCCCUCAAUUCCUGAGACCACAAGGUAGAAGAGGAGAGAACCAAGCCAGCUCCUAAAAAGUAUCCUCUGACCUCUAUACAUGUCUUUACACACACAAAAUAAUUUGUAAAAAAAAAAAAAAAUUAACAUGGUGACCAGGGUGAGGAGUACUAAAAACAAAAACAGCGGUUUCCCAGCCGCUUCCAAGCAGUGAGGCUCUGCCCUCAGGCAGGGCAGGCCACUCUGUCUGCCUAGUCUCCACAACUGCCUGCCCAGACCUGUGCAGUAGCCUUGAGGAAAGGCAUUUUAGAGUCUAGCCUGGGGCCUUACCUGGCCCUGCUCUGGCCAAAUGUUCUGUCAGGGCCUCUAUAACAACAGCGCAGCUUGCUGGUAGGUAGAUUCAGAGUCAAAAUGUCCCAGAAAACACCUUACCAUCGAUUUACUCAGUAACACUGAAAUGUGAUUUUCACACAGUUCUUACCUGUCAUAAUAAAAUACUUUGUUCCCUGGA